Molecule: non-coding RNA, 25 nt
Filed under: Rattus norvegicus (Norway rat)
Lineage: Eukaryota; Metazoa; Chordata; Mammalia; Rodentia; Muridae
Source: RNAcentral
UAGCCAAUCGGUGACUGAGUUUGGA